This is a long non-coding RNA of Silurus meridionalis, 444 nucleotides long. RefSeq lists it as uncharacterized. The transcript is spliced from 2 exons. Lineage: Eukaryota; Metazoa; Chordata; Actinopteri; Siluriformes; Siluridae. The record is from RefSeq and is a predicted model, not a curated record.
CCCCGAUCCCGACUCCCCCGCCGCGGAACGUGCGCGAGGAACCGCCGGCGACGUCAUGAUCCCGAGCCGCGGAGAAGAAGAGCGUGGAAGCCGACGGAGACGAGUUGAACAUCUCUGGCGCUGGAAAUCCCCGGCGCUCAUCAACUGUCACUGUGAUUAUUCGUGCAGCAGAACAGCAGCUGGGUCACCUCACCUGAGCCGUGGUCCUGGGGAGAGAGGAUCAGAUACAAACCGACAGCUUUGUCACACACUUGUGUGACAGAAUGCGUGGGCCGAGACGGGGGGAGGACGAUCUGUUCUCACUUUCUGGUCUGCAGGUGAAACCGAAGCCGGGUCUCGCUGCUGGUGUGGAGACGGCUGGCUGUAGGAGACGUGGGACUACCUACUAAAAGAGUGCUUACUUUUGCAAUUUUCAUGUCAGAUUAAAAUUUGCAUAUUGAUUCA